UAGUCCACGCCCUAAACGAUGUCUACUAGUUGUCGGGUCUUUAUUGACUUGGUAACGCAGCUAACGCAUGAAGUAGACCGCCUGGGGAGUACGGCCGCAAGGUUAAAACUCAAACGAAUUGACGGGGACCCGCACAAGCGGUGGAGCAUGUUGUUUAAUUCGACGCAACGCGAAGAACCUUACCUACACUUGACAUACUCGUCGGGACUUUCAGAGAUGAUUGUCUUCGGUUCGGCCGGACGAUGUACAGGUGCUGCACGGCUGUCGUCAGCUCGUGUCGUGAGAUGUUUGGUUAAGUCCAGCAACGAGCGCAACCCCUAUCGUAUGUUGCCAGCAUUUAGUUGGGCACUCAUGCGAGACUGCCGGUGUUAAGCCGGAGGAAGGUGGGGACGACGUCAAGUCAUCAUGGCCCUUACGUGUAGGGCUACAAACGUGCUACAAUGGGAGUUACAGUGGGCAGCGACGUCGCGAGGCGAAGCAAAUCCCUAAAAGCUCUCUCAGUUCGGAUAGGA
This 512-nucleotide ribosomal RNA is filed under the name uncultured bacterium. RNAcentral describes it as "bacterial SSU rRNA". It matches the Rfam family "Bacterial small subunit ribosomal RNA", at positions 791 to 1302 of the family's 1533-position model. The record is from RNAcentral.